RNAcentral lists this long non-coding RNA (309 nucleotides) under Homo sapiens (human). Its description in RNAcentral is "non-protein coding lnc-FGFBP3-2:1". Lineage: Eukaryota; Metazoa; Chordata; Mammalia; Primates; Hominidae. The record is from RNAcentral.
CGGUUGGCGACUCCCGGACGUAGGCACGUGUGGUUCUCAAAUAUAGGCAUUCUGAUGGGAACUUGUGUGUUAAAGUAACAGAUGAUUUAGUUUGUUUGGUGUAUAAAACAGACCAAGCUCAAGAUGUAAAGAAGAUUGAGAAAUUCCACAGUCAACUAAUGCGACUUAUGGUAGCCAAGGAAGCCCGCAAUGUUACCAUGGAAACUGAGUGAAUGGUUUGAAAUGAAGACUUUGUCGUGUACUUAGGAAGUAAAUAUCUUUUGAAUUAGAGAAAGUGUUGGGACAGAAAGUACUUUAUGUAACUAAGUG